RNAcentral lists this long non-coding RNA (699 nucleotides) under Homo sapiens (human). Its description in RNAcentral is "long non-coding RNA NONHSAT064280.2". The record is from RNAcentral. Lineage: Eukaryota; Metazoa; Chordata; Mammalia; Primates; Hominidae.
UAAACAUUGCUUGCAUCCAAGGAUAGUGGACAGUAUAUUGGCUCCCCCUUCCCCUGCCCUCCAUAUUGCCAUAAAAUUCCCAAACUAUUCAGUACACUUUAAUUUCCAAGAUUAUUAAUUUGUACAGAUGCUGGGGGGAGAGGUAGACAAUUACCAUCAUUAAAAUGCUGCAUUACUUUAUAUCAUUGAAUAAUGUCAAACAUUUUUUAAAAUUUUUUUAUCAUUUAAAAACAUCUCUUUAAGCUGGAAGCUCUUUGACAUCCUUUGGAACAGAAACAUCAAACAGUGGUACCUUACCCCAAAGUAGUGCGGUUGGUUCUGCCUUUACACAGGAUACAAGAUCUCUAAAAACACAGUUAUCUCAAGGUCGCUCAAGCCCUCAGUUAGACCCUUUGAGAAAAAGCCCAACCAUGGAACAAGCAGUGCAGACCGCCUCAGCCCACUUACCUGCUCCAGCAGCUGUUGGGAGAAGGAGUCCUGUAUCAACCAGGCCUUUGCCAUCUGCCAGCCAAAAGGCAGGAGAGAAUCAGGAGCACAGGCGAGCUGAAGUACACAAAGUUUCAAGGCCAGAAAAUGAGCAACUCAGAAAUGAUAACAAGAGACAAGUAGCUCCAGGUGCUCCUUCAGCUCCAAGGAGAGGGCGUGGGGGUCAUCGGGGUGGCAGGGGAAGAUUUGGUAUUCGGCGAGAUGGGCCAAUGA